UACAGAGGGGGCUAGCGUUAUUCGGAAUUAUUGGGCGUAAAGGGCGCGUAGGCGGCCUUGCGUGUCUUCCGUGAAAUCCCUCGGCUUAACUGAGGACGUGCGGAAGAAACUGCAGGGCUCGAGUCCGGGAGAGGGGGGUGGAAUUCCUAGUGUAGCGGUGAAAUGCGUAGAUAUUGGGAGGAACACCGGUGGCGAAGGCGGCCCCCUGGACCGGUAUUGACACUGAGGCGCGAAAGCCAGGGGAGCAAACGGG
Molecule: ribosomal RNA, 253 nt
Filed under: uncultured prokaryote
Description: partial 16S ribosomal RNA
Rfam family: Bacterial small subunit ribosomal RNA
Source: RNAcentral